GCUCUAACGCUCUUGGAAAGUCUGGACUCCUUCACAGGGCCCAGCGGUCCCAAAAACAGGCACAAUUUGUAUUUAAAUAGACUUUUUAUAUUAUUCUCUUAGAUGCAUUAUAGAUAACAUAAAGCUGAAGAUAUGGGCAUGGUUUGUCUGUAUCACAUAGAUUACUUUGGAAACCACAGUUGUUCUAAAGGGAGUGUCUAUGGAUGAAUCUUCUCCUAAAUCGUGACUGUCACAGUUGUUCUCCCUUCGAAGUGCCCUCCGAAGGCAUUAUUUAUGACGUUUGGAACACAGGAUUGGCUUCAUUUUCGCGUAGAAAAGGAUGCAUUCUGUCUCGAUGUGGGUUCAGUAGAUCAUCAUCAUUAGUAGCUGCAGCAUCUUCAUCAUCAUCUGCACCAGCAUGACCCCCUCUUCCUCCUCAGGAAGUUGAACAAAUUUCCAUGACUGCAAUGUUGUGACUGGAUUUUUGAGGAGUUUUGGAGAAAGUCAGCGUGGUGUUCAUAAGCUGUAACAGCAAAGGUGUUACUGCUUUCACAGCCUUGCUGACCUAAGAAUUGCUGAGCCACAGGCCAUCACCAACCAUCUCGAUAAAACUUCCAACAGCACAAUAAUGCAGUGUAGCUAAGAACUGCACUGCUGAACUUAAGGCGUAGUUUCUUCUUGUGACCCUUUGAAGGUGUAGUUUCACAACCUGCAGCAAUUCAAGGAUCUUGGUCCUUGGAAUCCAGAAUGUUCUUAUGAUGUCGUCAUCAGACAGAGAGACAAGUGGGGAGAAAUUUGUCCUUAUGAAGGCAUUUACGUAUAUACACUACCUGACUUCUGUGUUGCCUUCUGUGCUCAAGCUGUAGGAUUCUUUGUAAAGCCACCAUUUUUUUGUUUUGUUUUUUGGUUCCUGGGUAGUGUUAUUUCCCAAUUGCUUAUGCCUCAAAAGUAUAGAAAAUGGCUAUUAUUCCCCACAAACGUUGCUUUUGUGAUCAGGACAGUGAUAUUUUGAAAUUUACCUAUUUCCAAUGAGAAAACAGGUGAAUGUGUCUUUUUGUUCACAUAAAGUCAGAAAAAAACAACACAUGAAUCCAAAUGAUCAUGUAAUUAUACUAAAGUACUACAAAAAUGACUACAAAAAUUUAGAAGUGAGUCGUUUUUCGAGAUAUACAAUUAUACUGUAAAUCACUUUCACGAAUCAGCCCCCAAAUGUAGUCUCCCCUCAUGUUCUCGUUAUACUGUCCUUGGUAGGGGCGUUCAAAGUCCAGUAUAUCCUGAUGGAAUCACUUGCCUUGGUCCUCCGAGUACACUCCCAUGUUCUCCUUGAAUUUAUCAAGACGAGCAUCAUGUUAAACUACUGGAUGAAUUCCCAGUGUAUUAGAAAAGCACUAACUCAAAACACAUGUUAAAAAAUGACAGGGUAUUUUUGGUCAUCAAAUGGGAUAUUAUAUUUUGUAUUUAAAUUCAGAUUGUGAAGGGUUUUAACUUCUGUGUCACUGAAAAGCAACUUGAAAAUCGUAUGUUUGUUGCCAUGCAGCACCACACAGCUUCACCAGAGCCCUAUUUGACAGACCCAGUCUGUAUCUUUCACUCCAUAUAUAUUUCAUUCUAUAUCUUUCAUUGUGUCAAGAAUAAA
Long non-coding RNA from Myxocyprinus asiaticus (Chinese sucker), 1615 nucleotides. RefSeq lists it as uncharacterized. The transcript has 3 exons. The record is from RefSeq and is a predicted model, not a curated record. Lineage: Eukaryota; Metazoa; Chordata; Actinopteri; Cypriniformes; Catostomidae.